Molecule: ribosomal RNA, 831 nt
Filed under: uncultured bacterium
Lineage: Bacteria
Description: bacterial SSU rRNA
Rfam family: Bacterial small subunit ribosomal RNA
Source: RNAcentral
UCGAACGAGGUGCUUUUUGUAGCAAUACGAGGAGUAUCCUAGUGGCGAACGGGUGAGUAACGCGUGGGUGACCUACCCCAAAGUGUGGAAUAACAGUCCGAAAGGAUUGCUAAUGCCGCAUGUGGUCUGCGAGUUUAGAAAUCGUUGACUAAAGGAGCAAUUCGCUUUGGGAGGGACCUGCGUCCCAUCAGCUAGUUGGUGAGGUAACGGCUCACCAAGGCUACGACGGGUAGGGGACCUGAGAGGGUGGCCCCCCACAAUGGAACUGAAACACGGUCCAUACACCUACGGGUGGCAGCAGUAGGGAAUAUUGCACAAUGGGCGAAAGCCUGAUGCAGCAACGCCGCGUGCGCGAUGAAGGUCUUCGGAUCGUAAAGCGCUUUUCUGAGAGAUGAGAAAGGACAGUAUCUCAGGAAUAAGUCUCGGCUAACUACGUGCCAGCAGCCGCGGUAAAACGUAGGAGGCGAGCGUUAUCCGGAUUCACUGGGCGUAAAGCGCGUGCAGGUGGUUCGGUAAGUUGGGCGUGAAAUCUCCCGGCUCAACUGGGAGAGGUCGUUCAAUACUACCGGACUUGAGAGCAGAAGAGGAAGAUGGAAUUCCCGGUGUAGUGGUGAAAUGCGUAGAUAUCGGGAGGAACACCAGUGGCGAAGGCGAUCUUCUGGUCUGUUUCUGACACUCAGACGCGACAGCUAGGGUAGUAAACGGGAUUAGAGACCCCGGUAAUCCUAGCCGUAAACGAUGUGAACUUGGCGUUGGUGGGUUAAACUCCAUCAGUGCCGAAGCAAACGCGAUAAGUUCACCGCCUGGGGACUACGGCCGCAAGGUUAAAAC